CCAAUGUCUUUUACAAUCUCAACAUGACUUCCAAGCUCCUAUAUUCAAAGGAUUAAGCAAUGAAGGCAAGCAUAUGAAAGGCCUUUUUAACCACCCCGUCGAUAUGUAGCACAAACUUCAAAGAAUUAUGUACCUCCGCCCCUACGUCCUUCUAUUCUACAACACGACCCAAGGAUUGAACCUGACAUGAAUAUGGUUCAGCUACCAACUGAAUCAUCUGCCUGAGUUACCAAGAUAAUAGUGUUUUACAGGAUUUACAGCACUGAUACAGGCUCAAUAUACCUUAUUCCAAUAUAACCUUAUUCCUUUCUCCCUCAUGUUGUACAGCUUUCCCCUAAGACCAUCCAAGCUAGUAGACUCAGCGACUCCUUGCGGUAUCGAGUUCCACAUUCUGGCCAUUUUUAGGAUCAAUAAUUUGAUGUCCUUGUGAAGACAUUCGAAUCAUUAUGGGUGUGGAGCCUUUUUUAAUAAAAGGUUAAAAAGAUUUAUGACGCCUUGAAGAAAAACUUAUACUUUUGUUUCUGAACACUAGAAAAAAUACUUAUUAUGAUAACUUUCUAGAUUUACCAUUAAUGGAAUAAUAGUGAAGUUGAGGGGUGCAGAUGUUGUGACUGAACACUCGGGGACCCUUAAACCGAUACCAUGGUUUGGACAGGCUAAAAUGCGAAUGGUGGUUUGUUCUGUUUUUUUAAUUUUUUUUAAGAAGAUUACUCUCCUACAUCAUCAGCACUACAGGAUAAGUUUUUAAAGUAUAAUAGUAGUGUGGAUGUGGGGGUUCAAAGACGGUGCAUUGUUGAACUGUAUACAUCCCAAUGAUAGAUGGGUAGGAAUACUGGUGCUGGUACUGCAUAUCCUGAUGCUCGUUAAUGGCAACAUACGAGUCCCAGGUAUCGGUCUGGGGUUUUGUACAGCACAGACCGAAAGGUACUAACGACCACAGUAUAUAUAUAAUAUAUAUUAUAUAUAUAUAUAAAAUAUGUCUCACUUUUGUGAAACUGUGCCUCCAUCCCUAUGUGAGUGGGCACUAAAUACAAAACUGUGUUGGACUGGUAAAUUUUUGUACUGGUCCAUUAAUUCUACUGUGUGGGGAGGGAGGGGGAAAGAAGAAAAAAGAAGUUAGCACAACAGAAACUUCUUUUUAUAAGGAGUUGAAAAUGAGAACUGUGAAUAAUAAUUUAAUACUUUUUUCCAAAAUACAUGUUUUAUGUAGGUGACUGUCAGCAAAGAUGAGGAUUUAAAAAAUGUAUUUAAAAAAAAGACAAAAAAAAAUCUAGGCACAUUUUGUAAUUGAAUGAAAAUUGAACAGCAGCAGGGUGCACAUCUGUACGUGGAUGUAAUGGAAGAACACCACCAUUCGCACUAUAGUCUGCCUGCCACCCCCACUUCCCACCCCAACCUCCCCUCAAAGUCCUGGACUGUAAGCAUGUCUGAGAGGAGCCUCCAAUUUGCUGAAGACUUGAUCAUACACUUCUUUUUAUGGCUGUCAAAUUGCACCUGUCUGUGUAAUUGCCUGACGCAAGAAGAUGAUACAAUUAAAUAAAAGUACAGGUUUUAUUUUUAGUAUGAAAAAAAAUACAGAAAUGGUUGGUUGUGUUUGGUAUACACCGCUCUCAAAUUUGGACUCGGUAAAGUCUUCACGAGCCAUUCUAAUGACUAUUUUUUAAUUCUUAUUCUUACGUGGUGUGAUCUAAUAUGUAUGAUUAUGUUUAGCAAGUGAAUGAAUCCUAGUAUUAAUUACGUAUGUGGAAAAAAAAUUAAGUUGAUUAAAAAAAGGGAUGUUAUUAAGUUGAAGCUGUUUAACUUGUAGUAUUUGCCUUUGUACAGUUAACAGUGUAGAUAACCAGGGACUUUGGUUCUGUUUUUAAUGAGCUGAAGUUUACUGGACAUUCCGUUCAAAUUGUACUGAUUUUUUUUCUAUUAAUGCUCGAAAUGUCUAACUUUGGAAAGUGUGACUGGUUUAAAAAGAGAAAAAGAAACAGCUCUGCGCAGCAUGUUAAAGAGAUGUAUCCCUUUUAUUUUACUGACACUUGCAUUUUACACUCUAUAAUAAAAUAUCCACAACAUUUCUUUGUGGAAAUUUGGCCUGA
Molecule: non-coding RNA, 2087 nt
Organism: Chiloscyllium plagiosum (whitespotted bambooshark)
Lineage: Eukaryota; Metazoa; Chordata; Chondrichthyes; Orectolobiformes; Hemiscylliidae
Source: RefSeq, a predicted model, not a curated record